This 288-nucleotide unclassified non-coding RNA is filed under the name uncultured fungus. RNAcentral's name for it is "partial contains 5.8S ribosomal RNA, internal transcribed spacer 2, and large subunit ribosomal RNA". The record is from RNAcentral. Lineage: Eukaryota; Fungi.
AACGCAAAUUGCACUCCCUGGCAUUCCGGGGAGUAUGCCUGUUUGAGGGUCGGUUUAAAUUAAAUCGGUGCGUUGCUUUUUUGGUGACGCGUCGGAGUUGGGUUAUCUUAGCUUUUUUUGGCUUAAGAGACCUGAAAUUGACUCUUUUUUGCGCAUUCUGGACGUGUGAAUCUUAUGUCUCGUUAUGCUCAAGAUCAUUUUUCAUUAGGAGCGGUCACAGUGUGUGAUGUCGUGCCAUGAAUCUCGUUUUUCGACCUCAAAUCAGGUAGGGAUACCCGCUGAACUUAA